GCCGCCGUAGCUCAGUUGGCAGAGCGACGCUUUCGUAAAGCGUAGGUCGUCCGUUCAAAUCGGAUCGGCGGCU
RNAcentral lists this transfer RNA (73 nucleotides) under Planctomycetota bacterium. Its description in RNAcentral is "Planctomycetes bacterium tRNA-Thr". It matches the Rfam family "tRNA". Rfam says of the family: Transfer RNA (tRNA) molecules are approximately 80 nucleotides in length. Lineage: Bacteria; Pseudomonadati; Planctomycetota. The record is from RNAcentral.